AGAGUUUGAUCCUGGCUCAGAUUGAACGCUGGCGGCAUGCUUUACACAUGCAAGUCGAACGGCAGCGGGGGCUUCGGCCUGCCGGCGAGUGGCGAACGGGUGAGUAAUGCAUCGGAACGUGCCCAUGUCGUGGGGGAUAACGUAGCGAAAGCUACGCUAAUACCGCAUACGUCCUGAGGGAGAAAGCGGGGGAUCUUCGGACCUCGCGCGAUUGGAGCGGCCGAUGUCGGAUUAGCUAGUUGGUGGGGUAAAGGCCCACCAAGGCGACGAUCCGUAGCGGGUCUGAGAGGAUGAUCCGCCACACUGGGACUGAGACACGGCCCAGACUCCUACGGGAGGCAGCAGUGGGGAAUUUUGGACAAUGGGCGCAAGCCUGAUCCAGCCAUGCCGCGUGAGUGAAGAAGGCCUUCGGGUUGUAAAGCUCUUUCGGCCGGGAAGAAAUCGUGUUCUCUAACAUAGGACAUGGAUGACGGUACCGGACUAAGAAGCACCGGCUAACUACGUGCCAGCAGCCGCGGUAAUACGUAGGGUGCGAGCGUUAUCCGGAUUUAUUGGGUUUAAAGGGUGCGUAGGCGGUUUGAUAAGUCAGCGGUGAAAUAUUUCAGCUUAACUGGAAGGGUGCCGUUGAUACUGUCGAGCUUGAAUUUAGUUGCUGUGGGUGGAAUGUGUGGUGUAGCGGUGAAAUGCAUAGAUAUCACACAGAAUAUCGAUUGCGAAGGCAGCUCACAAAGCUAAUACUGACGCUGAGGGACGAAAGCGUGGGGAGCGAACAGGAUUAGAUACCCUGGUAGUCCACGCCGUAAACGAUCAUCACUCGCUGUUGGCGAUAUACUGUCAGCGGCCAAGCGAAAGUAUUAAGUGAUGCACCUGGGGAGUACGCCGGCAACGGUGAAACUCAAGGAAUUGACGGGGGCCCGCACAAGCGGUGGAGCAUGUGGUUUAAUUCGAUGCAACGCGAGAACCUUACCUACUCUUGACAUCCAGAGAACUUAGCAGAGAUGCUUUGGUGCCUUCGGGACUCUGAGACAGGUGCUGCAUGGCUGUCGUCAGCUCGUGUUGUGAAAUGUUGGGUUAAGUCCCGCAACGAGCGCAACCCUUAUCCUUUGUUGCCAGCGGUCCGGCCGGGAACUCAAAGGAGACUGCCAGUGAUAAACUGGAGGAAGGUGGGGAUGACGUCAAGUCAUCAUGGCCCUUACGAGUAGGGCUACACACGUGCUACAAUGGCAUAUACAAAGAGAAGCGACCUCGCGAGAGCAAGCGGACCUCAUAAAGUAUGUCGUAGUCCGGAUUGGAGUCUGCAACUCGACUCCAUGAAGUCGGAAUCGCUAGUAAUCGUGGAUCAGAAUGCCACGGUGAAUACGUUCCCGGGCCUUGUACACACCGCCCGUCACACCAUGGGAGUGGGUUGCAAAAGAAGUAGGUAGCUUAACCUUCGGGAGGGCGCUUACCACUUUGUGAUUCAUGACUGGGGUGAAGUCGUAACAAGGUAACC
Molecule: ribosomal RNA, 1492 nt
Filed under: uncultured bacterium
Lineage: Bacteria
Description: partial 16S ribosomal RNA
Rfam family: Bacterial small subunit ribosomal RNA
Source: RNAcentral